GCUUGUCUCAAGAUUAAGCCAUGCAUGUCUAAGUAUAAGCACCCUUAUACAGCGAAACUGCGUACAGCUCAUUAUAUCAGCAAUUAUUUAUUUGAAGGUCACCUAUUACAUGGAUAACCGUGGUAAUUCUAGAGCUAAUACAUGCGCAAAGACCUGACUUUUGGGAAGGGUUGUGUUUAUUAGAUAAAAAACCAAUCUAUCUUCGGAUAGUUUUGUGGUGAUUCAUAAUAACCGAACGAAUCGCAUGGCUCACGCCGGCGAUAAAUCAUUCAAGUUUCUGACCUAUCAGCUUCCGACGGUAGGGUAUUGGCCUACCGUGGCUAUGACGGGUAACGGGGAAUUAGGGUUCGAUUCCGGAGAGGGAGCCUGAGAAACGGCUACCACAUCUAAGGAAGGCAGCAGG
Molecule: ribosomal RNA, 403 nt
Filed under: uncultured Colpodellidae
Lineage: Eukaryota; Colpodellaceae
Description: partial small subunit ribosomal RNA
Rfam family: Eukaryotic small subunit ribosomal RNA
Source: RNAcentral